This 400-nucleotide long non-coding RNA is filed under the name Carica papaya (papaya). RNAcentral describes it as "long non-coding RNA (CPAP_LNC013838)". The record is from RNAcentral. Lineage: Eukaryota; Viridiplantae; Streptophyta; Magnoliopsida; Brassicales; Caricaceae.
AAUUCUGUUUGUUGUAUUUGUUAAAGAUAAAUCAUUUUGAUAGAACUGACAGCUUAUGAAAUCUUUAUCAAAUAUGUAAAUAAGCAAAUAUAGCUUUUAAAAUCGUGUUACCUAAGCACUUAAAUAACUUAUUUUUUAAAAAAUUAUAUUAGCCUAUAUGCUGUUAGGGAACUGUUUAUAAUCUCUGAGAAAUAAAUAAGCUAAACAUCAAUAUUUGCUAAGCAAUAUAUUGACCUGUUCUUUUUCUCAUGUUUGUAGAUAAAGAGAAAGUGGCCCAAGGUUAACCGAGAUCUUGCUGCUCGCAUUAUUGAAAAUGAAGACGCCGAAAAUGAGAAGAGAGAGGAUGAUGACAAUGAAAGCAAGAAAAAGUUAAAGAAAAAGAAAGGUGCCCUUGGCCAUG